AAGAAGGUAAAACACUCAAAUCUGAACACCAAAGUACUAUUGAUCUAAGACCUCCCUCCAGUUCUACUCGGAGGAUUAAGGAAGAGUGGUCUGGGCUUUUGGAUAGUUUGAUUCUGUCAAGAAAUGUGCAAGAACGCGAGGCAAUGGCGAAGAACAUGCGGCGGUCAAAGAGAGGAGAGAUACAUCUGGCAACUGGAAGGACAUGUGUCAAGCAUGCAGUGGAGAAACAUGUGCAACGCCGAAAUCAACUCGAAUUGAAAACUAACUCGCAUGUCGUGAAGUGACCUGAUAACUCGCGGUCCAAAUCGAUAAGUACCACAUAGAAUUAGGGAGAAUACUUGUAGGGUGAGUUUCAUAUUUCAUGCUUGCUAGAGAAAAUUACUCCUAGGUGGUUAGAUCCGAAAUAUCUUGUACCCACUAAGUUAAUUGUACAUGUGAUGGACUUCCUACUUGGAUGGAAUUUCAAGUUGAAAUUUCUA
This is a long non-coding RNA of Cucurbita moschata (crookneck pumpkin), 479 nucleotides long. RefSeq lists it as uncharacterized. The transcript has 2 exons. The record is from RefSeq and is a predicted model, not a curated record. Lineage: Eukaryota; Viridiplantae; Streptophyta; Magnoliopsida; Cucurbitales; Cucurbitaceae.